GUCUCCCUCCUUCAAUAUGCGGAUGAUACCAUAAUAAUGGUUGAGGGGUCUGUUCUGGACGUAGCUAACCUGAAGUUUCUCCUCCUGUGCUUCCAACAGAUGUUGGGACUAACCAUAAACUUCGAUAAGAGCGAAGUGAUGGUUCUUGCUUACCCCCCGGAGGAAGCUCAGGCUAUAGCGAACCGACUUAAUUGUCGGUUGGGUUCUUUCCCCACGACCUACCUAGGGAUCCUCAUUAGUGAUUCACGCCUCACCGUGACAGAUCUUCGCCCCACGGUGACCCGUAUGCAACACCGCGUUGAGCCCUGGAAAGGGCGCUGGUUGUCGAAGGCUGCACGCGUGAUCCUCAUCAACUCCUCGCUUGCCAGCCUUCUUUGGUUCCUCAUGAGCUUCUAUAGCCUUCAUGAGUCGCUCCAUAAGGAAAUUGCCAAGUACUAG
This 438-nucleotide ribosomal RNA is filed under the name Triticum aestivum (bread wheat). RNAcentral's name for it is "partial small subunit ribosomal RNA". The record is from RNAcentral. Lineage: Eukaryota; Viridiplantae; Streptophyta; Magnoliopsida; Poales; Poaceae.